CGAAAGCCUGACGGAGCAACGCCGCGUGAGGGACGAAGGCCUCUGGGCUGUAAACCUCUUUUCUCAAGGAAGAAGACCUGACGGUACUUGAGGAAUAAGCCACGGCUAAUUCCGUGCCAGCAGCCGCGGUAAUACGGGAGUGGCAAGCGUUAUCCGGAAUUAUUGGGCGUAAAGCGUCCGCAGGCGGCCUUGAAAGUCUGUUGUUAAAGCGUGGAGCUUAACUCCAUUUCAGCAAUGGAAACUACAAGGCUAGAGUGUGGUAGGGGCAGAGGGAAUUCCCGGUGUAGCGGUGAAAUGCGUAGAUAUCGGGAAGAACACCAGUGGCGAAGGCGCUCAACUGGGCCGUAACUGACACUCAGGGACGAAAGCUAGGGGAGCG
RNAcentral lists this ribosomal RNA (379 nucleotides) under uncultured cyanobacterium. RNAcentral describes it as "bacterial SSU rRNA". It matches the Rfam family "Bacterial small subunit ribosomal RNA", at positions 376 to 770 of the family's 1533-position model. The record is from RNAcentral. Lineage: Bacteria; Bacillati; Cyanobacteriota.